GACAUUGACGCAAAAAGUUGCAUCUUAAUCAGGUCAGAAAUUUUAACAAAUUUAUGUCUUGAUGUCUACAUGAAAACAUGCAUUUGCAGCCUUUAUUUGCAGCUAUAGUAUUUACCUACUAGUAAUUUAUCAAAUGAGGAUAGUUUGUACAUGUCAAACUGAUAGAGCUCAUAUUAAAACUAGUGAUAUAACUCAAUCAACUUGAUAUCUGGAAAGUUGCUCAAUAUGAGAAUGAUUUACGAAAGACCAGCAGCUAAUCUAGUAAGGCAAGAGAGUGCCCGCUUCUGCUCGGUCAAACGAAAGACCAGUAGCUAAUCUACUAAAGCGAGUAAGUGCCUGCUUCUGCUCGGUCAAACGAAAGACCAGCAGCUAAUCAAAAAAUCUGCUAAGGCAAGUACGUGCCUGCUUCUUCUCGGUCAACGAGAGACCAGCAGCUAAUUCUACAAAAAAUCUCUUAAGUAUUCAAUCCAAAAUUUUACAUGGGAAUAAUAUUAGAAAGUCAUAUUUAUGAGUGCAAUGAUUUUUUAAUGAUUAUGGAGCAGCCAGUUUGUAGUAUUAUGGCCAAUUCAGAUUUGGCUCAGAUCGCUAGACAAGUUUUUCAAAUUCUUUUACAGAACAGAUCCAUAUUCAAGGAUUUGAAUCAAAAACCUCAAAUGAGAGCACAUUGGCUGCACACGUUUGCAGGAAUCAGAUAGCUCAUUUUCGUCUGAAGAAUAUGCAGGGAAUUCUGUUAUGCAAUUUCACUACAAAAUGUCAAUUUUGAUACAUUUGCGAAUGAGGCAAGCUAUGCACCUGGAAGGAGACAUUGAUGCAAAAAGUUGCAUCUUAAUCAGGUCAGAAAUUUUAACAAAUUUAUGUCUUGAUGUCUACAUGAAAACAUGCAUUUGCAGCCUUUAUUUGCAGCUAUAGUAUUUACCUACUAGUAAUUUAUCAAAUGAGGAUAGUUUGUACAUGUCAAACUGAUAGAGCUCAUAUUAAAGCUAGUGAUAUAACUCAAUCAACUUGAUAUCUGGAAAGUUGCUCAAUAUGAGAAUGAUUUAN
This 1041-nucleotide long non-coding RNA is filed under the name Citrus sinensis (sweet orange). RNAcentral's name for it is "long non-coding RNA (CSIN_LNC000300)". The record is from RNAcentral. Lineage: Eukaryota; Viridiplantae; Streptophyta; Magnoliopsida; Sapindales; Rutaceae.